AAAUAGUGUUGGUCUCGCAUUGUAAAUUGAUGGAACGUUACCUAGUGUUAAGCCUUUCGGUCAAAGUCUCUUGGAACAGAGCGUCAAAGAGGGUGAUAACCCCGUGGAUGGCCGAAUGACAUACCAGCUUAAUACGUUGCGGUGCGUUUCCUUAGAGUCGGAAUGUUUGGGAUUGCAUUCCAAAGUGGGUGGUAAACUCCAUCUAAGGCUAAAUACUGGCGAGAGACCGAUAGCGAACAAGUACCGUGAGGGAAAGUUGAAAAGCACUCUGGAGAGAGAGUCAAACAGUACGUGAAAUUGCUAGCAGGGAAACGUUGGGCACCAGUACGCGGCAAUCAACGUCAAUGAUCAGUCGGGCGUAGUUGGAAGCAAGGCGUGUUGUUAACACUUUAAAGACUAUCCCAGGAUGGCUUACAUGUCUUGUGUAUUCAAUUGCACCGGUGCACUCUUUGGCGGCCGGGUCAACAUCGGUCAACGACGCUCGACAAGUCUUUAGACAAGGUAGCAUUAGUAGGCCUUGCGGCUUACCUUUGAACUUAUAGGUCUAAUGUACGAGAGCGUUGUUAACCGAGGCGGCAUAGCGACUCGCGCGUUUCGGCGCAGGGCGUACUGGCCAGGUCAAGGUCGUCCGUGGUGUUAAGCAGCAUGCUGAUUGACAUUCAUUUUGUCAAGUUUACUUGACAGUGGUGAUCGCCUGGCUAGUAC
RNAcentral lists this ribosomal RNA (705 nucleotides) under Syncephalis nodosa. RNAcentral's name for it is "eukaryotic LSU rRNA". It matches the Rfam family "Eukaryotic large subunit ribosomal RNA", at positions 124 to 634 of the family's 3401-position model. The record is from RNAcentral. Lineage: Eukaryota; Fungi; Zoopagomycota; Zoopagomycetes; Zoopagales; Piptocephalidaceae.